Molecule: ribosomal RNA, 585 nt
Filed under: fungal endophyte
Lineage: Eukaryota; Fungi
Description: eukaryotic LSU rRNA
Rfam family: 5.8S ribosomal RNA (bases 214-367)
Source: RNAcentral
AAAAAAAGAUUCGUAGUGACCUGCGGAGGACAUUACCGAGUGCGGGCCCUCGCGGCCCAACCUCCCACCCUUGUCUCUAUACACCUGUUGCUUUGGCGGGCCCACCGGGGCCACCUGGUCGCCGGGGGACGCACGUCUCCGGGCCCGCGCCCGCCGAAGCGCUCUGUGAACCCUGAUGAAGAUGGGCUGUCUGAGUACUGUGAAAAUUGUCAAAACUUUCAACAAUGGAUCUCUUGGUUCCGGCAUCGAUGAAGAACGCAGCGAAAUGCGAUAAGUAAUGUGAAUUGCAGAAUUCCGUGAAUCAUCGAAUCUUUGAACGCACAUUGCGCCCCCUGGCAUUCCGGGGGGCAUGCCUGUCCGAGCGUCAUUUCUGCCCUCAAGCACGGCUUGUGUGUUGGGUGUGGUCCCCCCGGGGACCUGCCCGAAAGGCAGCGGCGACGUCCGUCUGGUCCUCGAGCGUAUGGGGCUCUGUCACUCGCUCGGGAAGGACCUGCGGGGGUUGGUCACCACCAUGUUUUACCACGGUUGACCUCGGAUCAGGUAGGAGUUACCCGCUGAACUUAAGCAUAUCAAUAAGCGGAGGAA